RNAcentral lists this ribosomal RNA (623 nucleotides) under uncultured Atribacterota bacterium. Its description in RNAcentral is "bacterial SSU rRNA". It matches the Rfam family "Bacterial small subunit ribosomal RNA", at positions 56 to 633 of the family's 1533-position model. The record is from RNAcentral. Lineage: Bacteria; Pseudomonadati; Atribacterota.
UGCAAGUCGAACGAGAAGCUAACUUCUGAUUCCUUCGGGAUGAUGAGGUUAGCAGAAAGUGGCGAACGGGUGAGUAACGCGUGGGUAAUCUACCCUGUUAAGUGGGGGAUAACCCUCCGAAAGGAGGGCUAAUACCGCAUAAUAUCUUCUCCUCUAAAAGAGGUAAAGAUUAAAGAUGGCCUCUAUACUAUGCUAUCACUUCAGGAUGAGCCCGCGUCCUAUUAGUUAGUUGGUGGGGUAAUGGCCUACCAAGGCGACAAUGGGUAGCCGGUCUGAGAGGAUGUACGGCCACACUGGGACUGAGAUACGGCCCAGACUCCUACGGGAGGCAGCAGUGGGGAAUAUUGCGCAAUGGGGGAAACCCUGACGCAGCGACGCCGCGUGGAUGAUGAAGGCCCUUGGGUUGUAAAAUCCUGUUCUGGGGGAAGAAAGCUUAAAGGUUCAAUAAACCCUUAAGCCUGACGGUACCCCAAGAGAAAGCUCCGGCUAAUUAUGUGCCAGCAGCCGCGGUAAUACAUAAGGAGCAAGCGUUAUCCGGAAUUAUUGGGCGUAAAGAGCUCGUAGGCGGUCUUAAAAGUCAGUUGUGGAAUUAUCAGGCUCAACCUGAUAAGGUCAUCUGAAAC